GCUCGGACUUGUGCAUUAAGUAUAAUAUUGUUUGACCAUAAAUAGUAGAAAACAAUGAGGUCCAGUGGGAGGACCAAUGAGAAGGAGGGAAGCAGCACAUCAAAUGCAGCUACCCCUGCCUUGGCCUCUUCUCCGACUGUACAGUCCUCCACAGGGGCCCUUGUGGAGUCAGACCAGCCUACUUCAUCCACGCCUGGACUGCAGGAUGAUAUUUCAUUUCUCUCUGAAUAUCUUGUGGAUCUCUCAGAAAAGAAUUGGGCUGCAUUCUGUCAGACAACUACUGGUCCUCUGACGAGGAUGGAGUUUUUCAGACUGUGCAUAAGCUUGAUGAGACAUGUGCAUGUGAGUUCGAUGAACCUUGUUCUCCCAGCCCUCAUCAAAAUGUUGAAAGAGGAACCAGAACGUUUCCCAUCUAUCCAAGAG
This is a long non-coding RNA of Clupea harengus (Atlantic herring), 423 nucleotides long. NCBI's taxonomy places the organism in Eukaryota, Metazoa, Chordata, Actinopteri, Clupeiformes, Clupeidae. The record is from Ensembl.